GAUCCAGACAACCUCGGGAAACUGAGGCUAAUCCGGAAUAGGGCUCUCAUCCUGGAGUGGAGAGAGCCUGAAACGCUCCGGCGCUAUAGGAUGUGGCUGCGGCCGAUUAGGUAGACGGUGGGGUAACGGCCCACCGUGCCAGUAAUCGGUACGGGUUGUGAGAGCAAGAGCCCGGAGACGGUAUCUGAGACAAGAUACCGGGCCCUACGGGGCGCAGCAGGCGCGAAACCUUUACACUGCACGCCAGUGCGAUAAGGGGACUCCAAGUGCGAGGGCAUAUAGUCCUCGCUUUUUGCGACCGUAAGGUGGUCGCGGAAUAAGUGCUGGGCAAGACCGGUGCCAGCCGCCGCGGUAAUACCGGCAGCACGAGUGAUGACCGCUGUUAUUGGGCCUAAAGCGUCCGUAGCUGGCCGCACAAGUCUAUCGGGAAAUCUCUCCGCUUAACGGAGAGGCGUCCGGUGGAAACUGUGUGGCUUGGGACCGGAAGACCAGAGGGGUAC
This 500-nucleotide ribosomal RNA is filed under the name Natrialba hulunbeirensis. RNAcentral describes it as "bacterial SSU rRNA". It matches the Rfam family "Archaeal small subunit ribosomal RNA", at positions 119 to 618 of the family's 1478-position model. Lineage: Archaea; Methanobacteriati; Methanobacteriota; Halobacteria; Halobacteriales; Natrialbaceae. The record is from RNAcentral.